This 467-nucleotide unclassified non-coding RNA is filed under the name Hevea brasiliensis (rubber tree). The record is from RNAcentral. Lineage: Eukaryota; Viridiplantae; Streptophyta; Magnoliopsida; Malpighiales; Euphorbiaceae.
GAUUCAUAUUCCAGAAAAUUUCAUCUACCAUCCAAAGACAUCCAUGAAAUUACAAUCUGACUUGCCAAAUAUCAAGGAAAGUACCUCAUAUAAAAUUUUAAGUCCAACCAUUUCAGAUGAUUAAAAUAUGUAAGUUCUUCAACGGUCAUCUCUAGGACCUCAUUUUUAGAAUAGGAAUCACACCAUUUCAAUUGAAUAGGAAAACAUGUUUGCAAUUCCACAAUACAAUUGCAAUCAAAAUUCAAUUCGACUGACCAAUCAAACAAACUAACUAACCAGGCCCCACUUUAGGAAUGUCAUAAUGCUCACUUAGCUUAGCCAGAUAUUGGUUGAAUUCUUGAAUCUGAUCACGGUGUGAUUUACUGGCCAUCUUAGUAAGUCUUUGGAGAUCAAUUUUCUCCCACUGUUGAAGAUAACGCCUCUCAGCUGCUGUAAUAUGGUCAUCGUACUUGGCAGCCUGACCCUUU